This 318-nucleotide ribosomal RNA is filed under the name Triticum aestivum (bread wheat). RNAcentral's name for it is "partial small subunit ribosomal RNA". Lineage: Eukaryota; Viridiplantae; Streptophyta; Magnoliopsida; Poales; Poaceae. The record is from RNAcentral.
AUGAUAAAGGUUUGGCUUGGCCUUCAUGACAUGAACCUCCUGGAUUGGGGCCACAUGGACUUCGUUAAAGAUUCAUGGGGGCACAAUGCGUACAGAAUGACGCAAUCCCGAAGGCUGCUCAUCUCCCUCAUGUUGCUCAUUUCAUGGGAGAUAUGGCGGGACGGAAACGCAAGGGUCUUCCGUAGUGCUGCGGUACCGGUCGGAGUUAUUGUCACAAAGAUAAAAGAGGAGUUGUCUGAUACGUCUCCAACUUAUCUACUCCCUCCUUCCAUCUAUAUAGGGCCUAAUGUGUUUUUCAAGACAACCUUUGACUAUUGA